RNAcentral lists this transfer RNA (64 nucleotides) under Staphylinidae sp. BMNH 1274234. RNAcentral describes it as "tRNA-Ile". Lineage: Eukaryota; Metazoa; Arthropoda; Insecta; Coleoptera; Staphylinidae. The record is from RNAcentral.
AGUAAAAUGCCUGAAUAAAGGGUUAUUUUGAUAGAAUAAAUUAUGUAAGUAAUUACUUUUACUA